ACCUUUUCACAAAAUGAAAUCUUCGCAUUGUACGGUCUACAACAAUGAGGUCAAUAGGAUUAUUGCCUCAAUUGAUUAUGAUUACAAAUUUUAAUUAUAUGCCAGUUAUUGCCUCAAAAAAUUGUAAUAACGCUUAUGUCAAAACCAGCGAUUUUAUCGACACUUACUCUGAUGCUGAUGCUCUUCUAAUACAAGAAGUCCACUACCUCACUGCUGUAUCUUGCAUUCCCAAUGAUCGUACCAUCAUUGCCAAUGGCAGAAGUGCAACUAUCAUCUAUACCAACGAUCUCAUCUCUUCUCUUCGCAUUGGAACUGAGAGUAUCAUCACUCGAGUGAACCUUAAUGGAUCCCCUACAACUCUCGUUAAUUUAUAUCUCAGCCCAAGUCUCUCUGAACAAGAUUUUGAACAUGAAGUUAAUAUCAUAAUAAGAGCACUCUCUGGCUUCAGACAAUCUCCCAUUAUCUUAAUGGGUGAUGCUAAUUCCACGCAUCCAUCAUGGUCUUUUAUCAUCAAUGAUCAUAAUCAUCAGAAGGGACUUUACCUCCACUCGAGAUUGGUUGAAACAGGCCUGUCCUGUCUCAUCACUCCUUCACCUGACAAUUUUACCUUUACCUCUCAUCAAGGAAAUCACUCGUGGCUUGAUACUGUCUUUAGUAAUAUCAAAACUACCCAUUCGAAACCCAAAACUCAUAUAUUUGUGGACUCCGACAAUAAUGAUCAUCGCGGUAUAACUCUAAAGUAUAAACAUGGUAGAUCUCUACACAAUAGAAAACAUCGUAAAAUCCUUGAUUAUAAAAAUUAUUUUAAUGCCGUCAAUGAUCUUAUCAAAUCACAGCCUGAUCCAACCUCCUUUACUGAUUCUACAGACUUAGAUAAAUCCCUGUUAACCCUAAACAAAACUUUUGCUGAAAGCAUCAAAACUUUCACCAAAACAAUCAAGAUAACGUCACCUCUAAAACCUGACAAUGAACAUCAUCAUCUUAUUAAGAUCCUUAAAUCCCUCAAACUUGCGAUCACCAUCUCGCCUGAUAAAGAAACUCUUGGAUGUCUUAUUAAAUCCAUCAAAAAAGAAUUCUACAACAAACUUAAAGACAAACUCAGUGACACCUUUGAUCUAGCUAAUGAUAGCAGAAAUACUUGGUCCAAGAUUAAGAAGUUAUUAAAAUCUAAAAAUGAAGUUAAAGACUCCUUUGACUCCAACGUUAAAGAUUUCUUAAAAGACUUCUCAUCUGAUCUCAUACCAGAUAAUCCAUCAAUAAGAAUUACCCUUCGCAAGCCUGAUAACCAAAUUAUCUCCUUCAUGGAAAUUCUUAAUAUAGCUAAACAAGUUAACAAUUCUGCCCCUGGACCAGACUGGCUUAAGAAAUCUACCGCCAUCGAUCUGAUUAAUCUCAAUGAACUCUUUUUCACAAACUUAUACAACACUUUGAUUUUCAAUAGCUACUUUCCCUUCGCCUGGAAGAUCUCGAGAGGCACUCUUAUCCCGAAAAAUGACGGUGAACGUCCUCGACUUAUUCAAUGCACUGGUGUUUUCAGUAAAAUUCUGGAAAUCUACAUUAAUAACAUCAUUGACAAACAUUAUCACAUUGACAAAUAUAUUAAUCAACAUGCCUAUUUAAAAGGUCGUUCCAUUGCCACCUGUCUCCUAUCCAUUUUAGAUGAACCUUAUAAAUCUCACCCGACCAUCAUACAAUCGGAUGUAAUAGGAGCCUUUGACAACAUCAAACAAUCUUCCUUUGUCAAAGAGCUACAACCUCUACUUCCGAAUCACAUUCUCAGACUGAUGAUCUGUUUCCUAUUAGAUCGACACUGCGUCAUUAUACACAAUAACAAAACCUGGGCACAAAAAAUCAAGAACGGUAUUGCUGUCCCUCAAGGCAGCAUAUUAGGUCCUAAACUUUUUAUCAUUGGCCUCAACUCUACUAUGAGAAUUAUCUCACAGCAACUCGCUCAAAUUAAACCAGCCUGGACCUACUCCUACAAAAAUGUUAGAGACUUUUUCAGACUCGCUAUCUAUGCCGAUGAUCUAUUCAUUACCAUUAAGCCACUCUCUGGUUAUACACUUGCUAAUAAUGACCAACACUGCCAAAACAUCAGUUACCUUAUUAAUUCUGCAAUGAACAUCAUCAACAAAAACCUCUCUGAUAUUGGACUCAGUGUUUCUGGGUCUAAAUCGAAGAUUCUAUCAUCACCCUCCACUGUAAAUAUCAUUAACUCAAUUACCAGAAUUACUGCCUCUAAUCAAGGUAACUUUCUGGGUCUCCCAAUUGUUCUUGUACCGCAUCCUAAAGUAUGUAUCAAUACUUUGGUAAAGAACGUUGAGGAGUCAGCAAAAAAAUACCUCUUCUCAGCCAAACUUCUGAAAUCCUUACCUCCUAACAUUGUCAAAAUCAUUAUAUCAUCUCUCAUCACCAGUAAAGUCCUCCCCUAUUCUGCCAUCAUUACACCAUAUCUCCUCAAUAAUGUCUCUCUCUCUAGAAGAUUAGACAAAAUUAUCAUGCAUCAAUUUAGAUCUGUCUUCGGUAUAAGACCUAAUGCUUGCACAUUGGCCUGUUAUGCCCUUCUUGGCAUUAAGCCUGUCUGGCUACAGAUAAUUCAAUGUGGUGCCAAAACACUGCUUGAUCUCUCCAUCAACCAACGUUGUCUCGGGAGAAACAAGCUUUAUACUGAUUAUUUUCCCUCAAUAAGAUCUGACAAACUACUCUGGAAUAACUGUCUACAGGCAAAAGCUAUUGCUGAUGACUUUAAUAAUAAAAUCUGGACUAAAAGGAUUGCUAAUUCAUCCUACACUAACCUCCAUCUUAUUCUCAAGGAAUGGCAAUGCCUCAAUUCAACUGGAAAAAUGAGUAAUACCGACUACAUGGCCAUUGGCUACUACAAUUGGAUAACUGAAAAAAUCACUUGCUCGUGUGGCCUUACAGGACCUGAUAAUCUGCAUUGGUUAGUUCACUGUCCAAAAUAUGAUAGUCUACGGGCCAAUCUAACCUUAAUUAUUCACCUAAAAUACAAGGACAAGAUAAACAUCCCUCUAUUAUGCUUAAAAUCCCCGAAACUUUGUUUUUACCUCACCAGAACUAUCUUUAGAAAUGAAGUACUUCCGUACAUCAAACACCCUAAAUAACCUUUUUAUCAUCUCCAUUUGAACUAUAUAUACUUUCCCUGGAACCUCCUAUUCAUCUUCUUAUAUUAUCACUAAUUUUGUAAUAUUUUCCUACAUUUCCAUAUUGAACCAAACCAUUGUAUCUCUCCCUCAUUAACGGCGCUGGUAUAAGCCGUAAGUUGUAUUCCCUUUCGAUGCAACUGACCCACUCCCCGGAGUAUCAUGUAACUAACAGAGAGCCAUCUAUCUAGCCUCAGCGUAAAAACAACCUAAACAAAAAUACUAUUUUGUAAAAAUAGUGUUUAGCCGUAGUUUUAGUUAAAGUAAAUUGACAUUUUUAAAAGAUGAUUAAACUAUGAUGUAGCCCCUUAAAUUGUUUCAAUUUGACCGUAAGAUGACUUUAAAGAAGAGACAAUCCAUCAACCCUCAAAUGGAUUAAAUCUGUUAUUGAAUAAUCAAUGUAAAACUGUUAUGUUUUACCAUGUUUUUUUGUAUCUGUGUCAAUUGAUCCAUCCAUCCAUAACUGUCAAAUAGUGAAAAGAGGCAACAAAAAACCCAGAUUAUUGCCAACAAUUUUGAUUUCAACA
Tetranychus urticae (two-spotted spider mite) is the source of this 3688-nucleotide non-coding RNA. The record is from RefSeq and is a predicted model, not a curated record. Lineage: Eukaryota; Metazoa; Arthropoda; Arachnida; Trombidiformes; Tetranychidae.